Molecule: long non-coding RNA, 1439 nt
Filed under: Marmota monax (woodchuck)
Lineage: Eukaryota; Metazoa; Chordata; Mammalia; Rodentia; Sciuridae
Source: RNAcentral
UUUAUUUGGCUUCUUAUGAAAGUGAGAGCCCAGAGAACCAAACAGAAAAAGAAAGGUGGAAAUCUCUAAGGUCAGUCUUUGUGCCAGGAUGGGUAUAGGGUGGGUGGAGGGAGGGGGUUGGGCUGCUUGGAAGAGGGCUAAGGGGCUUCUGAGAUACCUGCUCAUCAGUCUCCUGGGGCCUUGGCCAGACCAUAGACAGGGAGAAGAAUAAGCCCAAGUUCACAGGGAUUGGGACAGAACUCAAGGGCUAGGGUAAGUCCGUGACCACUGGUAGCUGGUCUUUGGGCAAUCAAGAUAUGUGUUCCAGGGCCAGAAACUCCCAGUCCAUAUCUGUACUCCAGAAAGCAAAACACACAUACCAUAUCCUGUUUAUUCUGCAUGUUAACACAGCUGAAUGGAGAUCAGAAACGAGUCACAGCAAUGGGCUCGUGAGGACUGAGCCAAAAAGACUUGCCAAACAUUCUCUGGCCACCUCCUCUCAUAUGCUGUGAAGGUGUCCAUGCUGGGGAGAAAUCAGGGCUGGGACCCUCAUCACUUUCUGGCAUUUUAAAAUCUACAGAUCUUCUAUUUUGGGGAAGACAUGAGAAGCCCAGAGCUGAAGGAGGAGGAAGAGAUGGAGCCAGCAGAGGCCAUCCACAGCCCCGCCUCAAAUGGCCCAGUUGGCGGAGGCAGAAGCAGGGCCUCACUACUUUGCAAAUCAAGACCUUGUGGCCUGGUACCCACCACAAUAGCUGCAUGGGUACAGGAAACCUACUGUGGGACUGCAUCCCUGGCAGACUAGACAGGGCCCCCAGACACAUGGGUGGCAUACGCCUUGGUGACUACCUGCCUUAAGGACUGUGGAGGCCACAUUGCCAGUCAGUCUGUCCAUCCUGGACAAGGACAUGGUGCUACUCCCAGAGAAUUGAGUGACUGCAAUCGCAUUAUCUUACUAAGUGACAUGAACCACAGAAGUCACACAGUUUGUCACCAGUUGGUUGAGAGUCUCUGGAACUAUAGCAGGCAUCAUGACAUGAUGUGAAAUAAGCCUAUACCAGCUCAGAGCCGACCAGCGGCCCCUGCCAUUCUGCUGACAGACUGCUACCCUGUCCCUCCCAAUGGGCUUGUCUCUGCAGCCCCAUGCACCCUUCCCUUUCUGGAUCCUGCUGAUAUCAGAAUAACUUUCUGGUGACGGCUGUGAAACAGUUUAGCAGGACACACGUGGAUCACAAAGUUGACAAUGUGAACAUUACAAUCCUGUUGCAUAGCUCCCUUGUAAACUUUAGAGUUGGUAUAAACACAUGUUCAUAAAUCCUGGAUAUCCAUGUCCACUCUGAGUCACUGACUUCUGGAUUUUAAGUAGCAUUCAACCAAGAUGCAGGGUUGUUUCUUAAAUCAGCCCCAGGAAUGUUGCAGCUGACAUUAAAGAGUAGGAAGUGGUGGCCAUUUCCUAUCCAUAG